GAGAGAGAGAGAGAGAGAGAGAGAGAGAGAGAGAGAGAGAGAGAGCGAGAGAGAGCGCUGAUGCAGAGUUAAGGAGGCAGAGCCCAGCUGCACACCUUGCCGGCCAAAGCUGCAGGAAGCUCCUGCACCCUCAGCCCUGUCGGUACCAGGUAGAGGUCAGAGCAGAACAAAAGGGAAAAAGAGAAAAGCCCCGCGGAUAUAGGGUUGGGUCAAGGGACAACAGAGUCAUCAGUUUUCCUGAGGGUCCCAAGCCAACUCCAGGUAAUGAGAAUUGCAGGUCACCUUGAGCAGCAGACAAGGCCAACUCACUUGUCACUCCCACCCCCUCAGACCCUGACAUCAAGGGUGUGUGGCUAGAAGACCCCAUUUCCACCAUGAGAGGUGUCCUCCCUGUACUGGCAAAUAUGGGGAAACAAGACCAUUUACAGCUUCCCAGGAGACACAUGUGAGCAGCCUGCUUCCACCCAGGCCACUUCCCACGUGGUGAGGCACAUGUCUGAGAGGUCCCUGCAGCAUCAUUUAUGGUUCAAACAGUACAAUCCAGACGUCAUCGACUAAUGACCAGGGAGCAACACACGACAUGUUGAUAGAAUGGAAUAUUAUUUGGCCAUAAAAAACCCAAAGCAGUGCUCCAUACUCUUAAAAAUAAGAUGCAGAGUCAACACAAAAGACCACAAACUGAUCUCAUGUAGCCCAGGCUGCCAGCAAGCUUACUGUGUGGCUGAGGAUGACCUUGAACUUCUGAUCUUCCUGCCUCCACCUCUGGAGUGCUAGGAUUAAAGAUGCAAAGUGAUCAGCCCCCUCAUGUUCUACCACUGUGAUCCUCACCACGAUGAACUGCAUCCUCAAACUAUGAACCAACACAAGCCCUUCCUUAAAUUACUUCUUUCAGGGUCUGAGCGGCUAUGGGACUAGCAGGUGAGAGAGAUUUGUCCUGACUGUGGGCCAGGCAGGAAAACUCUAGCUACAGAGCCCCUCCUGCGGACCCUAACCCAUUACCUGUCAUCCUUGAGGACAGUCAGAUGGCACCCUGAUUUCUACUCACCACAGGAUGGCCUUCCAGGCAACGAGGGACACAAAAGGCAAGGAGAGCUGGUGAACCCCUUAUCCUAUGUGGGUCCUAGACUGAUUUUCAAUCUAGAUGGAUCCCACAAGCAAGGAUAAGGGGCAGACAGGCCAGUAAAAGGAUGGAUGAACAAAUGGACAGAUGAACUGAUGGACGGACAGACGGAUGGAUGGAUGGAUGGAUGGAUGGAUGGAUGGAUGGAUGGGUGUGUGGGUGGAUUGGUGGAUUGCUAAGUGGGUGGAUGGGUGGAUGAGUGGGUGUGAGGAUGGAUGAAUAGAUAGUUGGGUGGAUGGAUGGAUGGAUGCAUGGAUGGAUGGAUGGAUGGAUGGAUGGAUGGAUGGAUGGAUGGAUGGAUAGGUGAACAGAUCAGGGGCCAAUUUCUGCUGUAUCUUAAGAAAUCUG
This is a long non-coding RNA of Peromyscus californicus insignis, 1468 nucleotides long. RefSeq lists it as uncharacterized. The transcript has 7 exons. Lineage: Eukaryota; Metazoa; Chordata; Mammalia; Rodentia; Cricetidae. The record is from RefSeq and is a predicted model, not a curated record.